Molecule: long non-coding RNA, 759 nt
Organism: Poeciliopsis prolifica (blackstripe livebearer)
Lineage: Eukaryota; Metazoa; Chordata; Actinopteri; Cyprinodontiformes; Poeciliidae
Exons: 3
Source: RefSeq, a predicted model, not a curated record
UGUAAGUCAUAAACAUAUUUCUGAACAAGAAUUAGCCCAAAAGGGAAAGGGGAAAAUUCCCCAUCAGCUGGUUUUAUGAGGUCUUUGUUCUAACACCGGAAGUCCAGACAGCGACAUUUUGAGGAGGGAUGAGGUGGGGAGAUUCUCGAAGCUACAGCACAGCUAACGGCUAACAGGCCAACAACCAUCCUCCGGUAUCAACUAUGUAUUUCGGAUUAAACGAACAUUAUCUCGUUAUACAUAGCUUCAAUCAUUCAUCAAAAGCCAAAUGAAGCCAGUUGUCUCACAGUAAACAGUCCAAGGCUGUGAAGAACAUCCUACCAGUGUGCGAUGAAACCCUGAAGGACGAGAUGAAACUUGUUCCAGCUCUUUGAAGCCCAUGCAGGAUGUUUUCUUUGUUUCCUUCUCACAAGUCUAGACUCAACAUUUUUUGCUCUUAGCUCAACACACAAGUUCCAGAUUUUUUACAUCUUGAACUAUCAUUCAUAAUUAAUGUUGGAUUCACUUCAAGGAAAUAUUAAAUUUGUACUUCUAAGAAAUGUAUGUUUUUAUUUGAACAUAAUGUUCUGAUGUUUUGCUAAAUUAAACAUCAAAGAAACAGACUAUAUCUAUAAUUCCAAUGCUAACUAAUGCUUUCUAUGUUAGACAAUAGUUUUGUCUUGAAAUUUUGACACCCAUAAUUGGCUGCAAAAUACUGCAAAUGUACAGUUAAGUAAAAUUACUGUACAAAAUUUUAAUAUCAUAUUGUAGAACACAAUU